UCACCAGCAAACCUGAGCUUUGCUGGAGUUAGCGUAGCCAGCAGCGAAGCGCUUUGUUGUGAGACGUCACCUUCGGGGCUGAGCAGAGGUGACUCCCCACAACAAACCGCGCGCCCGUGGCCAUCUGAGUCCAUGAGGUAUGAAGGAAAACAAUCAGAUUCAGAAUGAACUGAAAUUUCGAAUGACGUGUGCAGGCAGAAUAACGUGCGGAAGAGUCUUGAAUAUAAAAUCUUGAAAAAUCAGUCUCCGGAAUAAUUCAUGGGUUCAGUUUCUACAAGGGAAUCACAUGAGGAAAAAGUGAGAAAAAAACAAGUCAUUUUACCUUGAGAAAAACUCCCAGUACAGCCAAACCGUCGGGUGCUUUGGCAGCGUCAGCGAAAGUCUUGUACUUGGAGGUGUUCCAGUGAACGAGAUGAAGCUGGAAAGAGAAAAAGAAAAAAAAAAAAAAUAAGAUGACGAUGUUAUUUGAGGCGGUAAAAUUUUGGUGAGAGGAGUUGUUGGAUAAGCUAUGAACUCGGUCGAAAACAACCUGCAGAUGCUAGGCGUAUCAAGGCACGUCCUGGAUCAGCCUGCACCGCAUAACAUGACUCCUCGAGGUACGACCUCGUUCGUGAUUUGCCCCCGGGGCGUUCAAGAGUUGAGCCGAUCGUGGGGCGAAAGAGGCUAUACGGGACGAGUUUAACUCGGUUGUGCAGCGGUGGCAUGAUGAUUGUUGGUAAACU
This is a long non-coding RNA of Athalia rosae (coleseed sawfly), 722 nucleotides long. RefSeq lists it as uncharacterized. The record is from RefSeq and is a predicted model, not a curated record. Lineage: Eukaryota; Metazoa; Arthropoda; Insecta; Hymenoptera; Athaliidae. The transcript is spliced from 3 exons.